AAACUUCAACUACCAUCCAUAUGAUUUCACACUUUCUCACUUUAAUAUUAUGUGGUUUAAAGUGUAUAAAUUUAGUCCUGUGGUUUAUUUUUAUCUUUUUAUUAUCAAUUCCACUAAUUUUUUUCGUUAAAUCAGUGACAAAGUUAAAAUUAAAGGGCACUAAAGUAAAUAUUCGAUAAAUCUAGUUGGGGUAUCUGAAGCUUUUUGUAUAUAUUUUAACAAAAUAUUAACGAAAAAGCUGACGAAAAGAUAAAAAUGAUAUCACAAGAUACUAACUUGAUACACUUUAAACCACAGCGCACAAAAGUGAGAAAGUGCGAAACCACAUGGGUAGUGUUAGAAGUU
Molecule: long non-coding RNA, 345 nt
Filed under: Ananas comosus (pineapple)
Lineage: Eukaryota; Viridiplantae; Streptophyta; Magnoliopsida; Poales; Bromeliaceae
Description: long non-coding RNA (ACOM_LNC031724)
Source: RNAcentral